This 667-nucleotide ribosomal RNA is filed under the name uncultured bacterium. RNAcentral describes it as "bacterial SSU rRNA". It matches the Rfam family "Bacterial small subunit ribosomal RNA", at positions 9 to 672 of the family's 1533-position model. The record is from RNAcentral.
GAGUUUGAUCCUGGCUCAGGAUGAACGCUGGCGGCGUGCUUAACACAUGCAAGUCGAACGAAGCACUCUUUUAGAUUUCCUUCGGGGAAGAAGAAAUUGUGACUGAGUGGCGGACGGGUGAGUAACGCGUGGGCAACCUGCCCCAUACAGGGGGAUAACAGCCGGAAACGGCUGCUAAAACCGCAUAAGCGCACAAGGGCCGCAUGGCCUGGUGUGAAAAACUCCGGUGGUAUGGGAUGGGCCCGCGUCUGAUUAGCUAGUUGGCGGGGGAGAGGCCCACCAAGGCGACGAUCAGUAGCCGACCUGAGAGGGUGGCCGGCCACAUUGGGACUGAGACACGGCCCAAACUCCUACGGGAGGCAGCAGUGGGGAAUAUUGCACAAUGGGGGAAACCCUGAUGCAGCGACGCCGCGUGAGCGAAGAAGUAUUUCGGUAUGUAAAGCUCUAUCAGCAGGGAAGAAAAAUGACGGUACCUGAGUAAGAAGCACCGGCUAAAUACGUGCCGGCAGCCGCGGUAAUACGUAUGGUGCAAGCGUUAUCCGGAUUUACUGGGUGUAAAGGGAGCGCAGGCGGUGCGGCAAGUCUGAUGUGAAAGCCCGGGGCUCAACCCCGGGACUGCAUUGGAAACUACCGAACUAGAGUGUCGGAGAGGUAAGUGGAAUUCCUA